Molecule: transfer RNA, 74 nt
Filed under: Culex quinquefasciatus (southern house mosquito)
Lineage: Eukaryota; Metazoa; Arthropoda; Insecta; Diptera; Culicidae
Rfam family: tRNA
About the family: Transfer RNA (tRNA) molecules are approximately 80 nucleotides in length. Their secondary structure includes four short double-helical elements and three loops (D, anti-codon, and T loops).
Source: Rfam by way of RNAcentral
GUCAAUGUGGAUCAAUCGGACCGCUCACUGGACUCACAAUCCAGAGGUCGCUGGUUCGAAUCCCGCAGUAGGCG